This 253-nucleotide ribosomal RNA is filed under the name uncultured bacterium. RNAcentral's name for it is "partial 16S ribosomal RNA". It matches the Rfam family "Bacterial small subunit ribosomal RNA", at positions 524 to 776 of the family's 1533-position model. The record is from RNAcentral.
UACGUAGGUGGCAAGCGUUGUCCGGAAUUAUUGGGCGUAAAGCGUGCGUAGACGGUUACAUAAGUCGGGUGUGAAAGCCCCGGGCUCAACCUGGGAAUUGCAUUCGAGACUGCGUAGCUAGGGUGCGGAAGAGGGAAGCGGAAUUUCCGGUGUAGCGGUGAAAUGCGUAGAUAUCGGAAGGAACACCAGUGGCGAAAGCGGCUUCCUGGUCCAGCACCGACGUUCAGGCACGAAAGCGUGGGGAGCAAACAGG